RNAcentral lists this unclassified non-coding RNA (1886 nucleotides) under Penaeus monodon (black tiger shrimp). RNAcentral's name for it is "solute carrier family 25 member 46-like, transcript variant X2". Lineage: Eukaryota; Metazoa; Arthropoda; Malacostraca; Decapoda; Penaeidae. The record is from RNAcentral.
CCCGUCGUCUGCAGCGGACGGCCGAGUCUUACGUGUUGUUAUUAUUGUUAUUAACGUCAUUUUUUAUCAACACUUCUCUCCUCUUCGCCUUUUUAUUCCCGUUGGGUGUUCUCCUCUUCUUCUCCUCCGUGUCCUUGUCUCCCGUUUUCGCUUCUUUUCAUGCCAGUUAUUUUGGGGGAAGGAAAUUAAAAGAGUUGAAAUGAUUUGCUAGAAGAUGGCACACCAAUCAACUGCAGAAUUCUAGCAAAGGAUUCAGGCAUAACCCCCCUCGAGCCAUAUUUCCCCCUCCCCCCCCUCCCUACCCUCUCCCACAGUGCAGACCCCUUCCCCCCUCUACACUGCUAUGGCCGGACUGGAUGACUACCAGUUCUUCUCUAAUCUACGUGAACGCGACACCCCCUUCUGGCAGAAAACCUACGCAGGGGGGGGUGUCGACCGGCCCCACCACGAAGCGAUGAUGAUGCCCGGUGAGACGUACAAGCGGCCAACAGAAUUCCCCCAGAAUCUGCUCAACCCGGCUCUUGCCCCCCACCCCACCUCUGCCUCAGGCACCAAGCCCUACGAUGCGGUGGACUCGUCCAAAGGGAAUGAUAUUCAGAUGGAAAAGUAUGGCGAGCUCUCUAUAAAUCUUGUCAGCUUGUGUGCGGAAAAUCUGCUCAGUCACCCCUUCAUUGUGGUCCGGAGGCAGUGCCAGGUGAACGUGAACAGCCAGCGUUACCACCUCCUGCCCAUCACCUUGGUGCCGGCCUUAAUCCACAUGCAGGGGUGCCAAGGGGUCUCGGCAUUCUGGAAGGGCCUUGGCUCCGUUCUGACUGUGAGGGGAGUCACCCUUGCCCUGGAAGACUGCCUCUCCAAGUUCACGCCGUGGCCCAAAGAAAUUUCCCCUCACAGUUCUCCCAAAACAAUUGGCCAACACCUGCUCCUCAAGUGCUCUGCCUUGGCCCUCAUAACCCCCUUCUACAGUGCGAGCCUAGUGGAAACAGUGCAGAGCGAGAUUGCGAGUGAAAAGCCAGGUGUGCUGGACGUUUUCAAGGAAGGCCUCACACGACUACUGUCUUUCACGCAGCCUCAGACAGGACGCAUGCUCCCUGUAUGGUUGCUCAUCCUCCCCACAGUCACACACGGAAUUCUGCAGUACUUAAUCGGCAACGCAGUCUCUACCAUAACGUCCCAUGCUUUGAGACGCUACCAAAAGCAGGACCAGCAGAAACAGGGUGCCGUAAGCAAAGACUCAGGUUCUUUCCUGGAUGCUUCCGUACGCCUGCAAUCAGCUUUUAUCGGCCACCUUGCCUCGGACGUUAUUCUCUAUCCCUUGGAGACUAUUUUGCAUAGGCUGCAUAUGCAAGGCACUCGCACAAUCAUCGACAGCCUUGACGUAGGCUACGAGGUCAAGCCGAUCCUGACACGAUACGAAGGCUUUUUCGAUUGCCUCCAUACCACCAUUCACGAGGAAGGGUUCUUUGGCCUCUUUAAGGGUUUUGGUGCAAUGUGCAUGCAGUACGCUCUCCAUGCGGCCGUUCUGAAAUUUGCGCAGGUCAUUAUUAGGGAAGUCACCUUUAUCCUCGUCCCCCCGAAGCCCAAGCUAAAGCAACAGCUUCCGCAGGACCGGCUGGAGCCCACACAGCAGGUGCUCAAUUGUUAGAGAGAGAGAGAGAGAGAGAGAGUGGGGGCGAGAAGUAGGUACUUAAGGUGGUCCUCGUACUCCUCCUCCUCCUCCGUAAACGUUCCUAGAGCAUGAUCUAAGGCUUAGACUUAGUGGGUCCCCUGGCUCCCAGUGCUCCCUACACGCCCCUCCAGGCCGUGCCCCCCCCUGGCAUGGCGGGCCUGCACUCCCCCCCCCUCACCUCCUCCCCCCGCCACCACCAGGGCUCCCCCCGGCAGGGCCC